ACAAUUCAACGUCACCCCCUCCCUGACUAGCAUGUGGGCUCCCCAGGUUGGAGCCCCUUUCCCUCUCUCCUGCAUGUCCAUUGCGGGCUGCAGUGUGUCUGGUGGGCAGAUGAGGAAGCUGAAAUACUGCAAGUUGAAAUGACUCAUCCUAGGUCCCAGGUCUAGUGAAGAGUGAGCACCAGAAAUCACAUAUACUAGACCACCAGCAGUCAGAUAUAAUCAGCUCCCAAAUCUCCUGUGGUUCACUAUAUAUAAAAGAAAAAAACAAAACAAGGAAUAUCCAACCAAAACAAGGUACAUACACAGGAGGGUUCACGGGGCGAGAACAGAUACAAACCAGAGAGAUUUUGAAGAGCCUGGGGUCUCUAGACAAUUCGGCACUGUUGUGGAUUGCAUGUUUGUAUCCCCUCUAAAUACGUAUGUUGAAGCCCGAGCCCCCAGUGUGAUGGUACUUGGAGAUGGGGCCUUCGGGAGGUGAUAAGGUCAUUAAAGUGGAGCCCUCAUGAAUGACAUUAGUGCCUUACAAGAAGAAGCAAGAGAGAGCUUGCUGCCUCU
This 555-nucleotide long non-coding RNA is filed under the name Pongo abelii (Sumatran orangutan). RNAcentral's name for it is "lincRNA". Lineage: Eukaryota; Metazoa; Chordata; Mammalia; Primates; Hominidae. The record is from RNAcentral.